GAGUUUGAUCGUGGCUCAGGAUGAACGCUGGCGGCGUGCUUAACACAUGCAAGUCGAACGGAGCGCCGGACACGGACUAUUUCGGUAGGAAGCGUGCGGAGGCUUAGUGGCGGACGGGUGAGUAACGCGUGGAUAACCUGCCGCAUACCGGGGGAUAACAGCUGGAAACAGCUGCUAAUACCGCAUAUGCCCGCAGUGCUGCAUGGCACAGCGGGGAAAAACUCCGGUGGUAUGCGAUGGGUCCGCGUCUGAUUAGGCAGUUGGCGGGGUAACGGCCCACCAAACCGACGAUCAGUAGCCGGCCUGAGAGGGCGGACGGCCACACUGGGACUGAGACGACGGCCAGACUCCUGCGGGAGGCAGCAGGUGGGGAAUAUUGCACAAGUACGGGGAAACCCUGAUGCAGCGACGCCGCGU
Molecule: ribosomal RNA, 417 nt
Filed under: uncultured microorganism
Description: bacterial SSU rRNA
Rfam family: Bacterial small subunit ribosomal RNA
Source: RNAcentral